GAAAUGCGAUAAGUAAUGUGAAUUGCAGAAUUCAGUGAAUCAUCGAAUCUUUGAACGCACCUUGCGCUCCUUGGUAUUCCUUGGAGCAUGCCUGUUUGAGUAUCAUGAAAUCUUCAAAGUAAAUCUUUUGUUAACUCAAUUGGUUUCUACUUUGGUAUUGGAGGUCUUUGCAGCUUCACACCUGCUCCUCUUUGUUCAUUAGCUGGAUCUCAGUGUUAUGCUUGGUUCCACUCGGCGUGAUAAGUUAUCUAUCGCUGAGGACACUGUAAAAGGUGGCCAAGGUAAAUACAGAUGAACCGCUUCUAAUAGUCCAUUGACUUGGACAAUACUUUUAUGAUCUGAUCUCAAAUCAGGUAGGACUACCCACUGAACUUAAGC
This 378-nucleotide unclassified non-coding RNA is filed under the name plant metagenome. RNAcentral describes it as "partial contains 5.8S ribosomal RNA, internal transcribed spacer 2, and large subunit ribosomal RNA". The stretch from base 1 to 105 matches the Rfam family "5.8S ribosomal RNA", at positions 50 to 154 of the family's 154-position model. The record is from RNAcentral.